CCCGCACAAGCGGUGGAGCAUGUGGUUUAAUUCGACGCUACGCGAAGAACCUUACCUGGGCUUGAACUGCUGGUGGUAGAAGCCCGAAAGGGUAACGACCCGGAGCAAUCCGGGAGCCAGUAGAGGUGCUGCAUGGCUGUCGUCAGCUCGUGUCGUGAGAUGUUGGGUUAAGUCCCGCAACGAGCGCAACCCUUACCCUUAGUUGCCAGCGGGUAAUGCCGGGCACUCUAAGGGGACCGCCCCGGAUAACGGGGAGGAAGGCGGGAUGACGUCAAGUCAGCAUGGCCUUUAUGUCCAGGGCUACACACGUGCUACAAUGGGCGAUACAGGGGGAAGCAAGGCCGCAAGGUAGAGCUAAUCCCUAAAGUCGCCCUCAGUUCGGAUUGCAGGCUGCAACUCGCCUGCAUGAAGUCGGAAUCGCUAGUAAUCGCGGAUCAGCUACGCCGCGGUGAAUACGUUCUCGGGCCUU
Molecule: ribosomal RNA, 469 nt
Filed under: uncultured Aminicenantes bacterium
Lineage: Bacteria; Candidatus Aminicenantota
Description: bacterial SSU rRNA
Rfam family: Bacterial small subunit ribosomal RNA
Source: RNAcentral